This 65-nucleotide transfer RNA is filed under the name Chalcophora japonica. Its description in RNAcentral is "tRNA-Pro". The record is from RNAcentral. Lineage: Eukaryota; Metazoa; Arthropoda; Insecta; Coleoptera; Buprestidae.
CAGAGAGUAGUUUAUUAAAAAUAUUAAUUUUGGAGAUUAAUGAAAAGGUUUGGCCUUCUCUCUGA